GACGAACGCUGGCGGCGUGCUUAACACAUGCAAGUCGAACGGAAAGGCCUGCUUUCCCUUGUGGAUUGCGGGUACUCGAGUGGCGAACGGGUGAGUAACACGUGAGUGAUCUGCCCCCAACUUGGGUAUAAGCCUGGGAAACUGGGUCUAAUUCCCGAUAGGACUGUAGGGUGGUGCCUGUGGUGGAAAACGAUUUUCUAGUGGUUGGGGAUGAGCUCGCGGCCUAUCAGCUUGUUGGUGGGGUAAUGGCCUACCAAGGCGGCGACGGGUAGCCGGCCUGCGAGGGUGGACGGCCACAUUGGGACUGAGAUACGGCCCAGACUCCUACGGGAGGCAGCAGUGGGGAAUAUUGCACAAUGGGCGGAAGCCUGAUGCAGCGACGCCGCGUGGGGGAUGACGGCCUUCGGGUUGUAAACUCCUUUCGACCGCGAGGAAGCCACCUGGUUGGAAGGGUGGUGACGGUAGUGGUAGAAGAAGCACCGGCUAACUACGUG
RNAcentral lists this ribosomal RNA (494 nucleotides) under uncultured bacterium. RNAcentral's name for it is "partial 16S ribosomal RNA". It matches the Rfam family "Bacterial small subunit ribosomal RNA", at positions 28 to 507 of the family's 1533-position model. The record is from RNAcentral.